RNAcentral lists this long non-coding RNA (201 nucleotides) under Carica papaya (papaya). RNAcentral's name for it is "long non-coding RNA (CPAP_LNC014939)". Lineage: Eukaryota; Viridiplantae; Streptophyta; Magnoliopsida; Brassicales; Caricaceae. The record is from RNAcentral.
CAUGAAUGGCCAACACAAGACAUACACCUGUGCCCACGUCCCAUCCAAGUAGGGCACAAGAUGCGAUCUGCGAGCGUGUCCCUUCACGUGCAGACAGGCACGCGGCUUUGCAUUCCCUGUGCACGAGCCAUCCACGUGGUAGGCCUAUUGCACGCCCAUCAAGCUAAGCCUGCGGUACGUGACAAGUUGAGGCAGCUAGAG